RNAcentral lists this transfer RNA (74 nucleotides) under Blastopirellula retiformator. Its description in RNAcentral is "Planctomycetes bacterium Enr8 tRNA-Lys". It matches the Rfam family "tRNA". From Rfam's summary of the family: Transfer RNA (tRNA) molecules are approximately 80 nucleotides in length. Their secondary structure includes four short double-helical elements and three loops (D, anti-codon, and T loops). Further hydrogen bonds mediate the characteristic L-shaped molecular structure. tRNAs have two regions of fundamental functional importance: the anti-codon, which is responsible for specific mRNA codon recognition, and the 3' end, to which the tRNAs corresponding amino acid is attached (by aminoacyl-tRNA synthetases). tRNAs cope with the degeneracy of the genetic code in two manners: having more than one tRNA (with a specific anti-codon) for a particular amino acid; and 'wobble' base-pairing, i.e. permitting non-standard base-pairing at the 3rd anti-codon position. The record is from RNAcentral. Lineage: Bacteria; Pseudomonadati; Planctomycetota; Planctomycetia; Pirellulales; Pirellulaceae.
GAGGUUGUAGCUCAGUCGGUAGAGCAACGGACUUUUAAUCCGUAGGUCCUGGGUUCGAGCCCCAGCAACCUCAC